Molecule: non-coding RNA, 2488 nt
Organism: Xyrichtys novacula (pearly razorfish)
Lineage: Eukaryota; Metazoa; Chordata; Actinopteri; Labriformes; Labridae
Source: the annotation of a GenBank genome assembly
GUUCAUUGUAAAUAAUUCAUAUCCUUCCAGUCUCAUAUCACUGACUUUCUCCUCAUCAAGCCACGUUUCUGAUAUUGCAAUUAUACUGAACUUAUUAAAUUUACUCAAAUAUUCUUUAAUUUUAGAGAAGUUUUUAUAAAGGCUUCUACUAUUGAAAUGUAUAACUGACAAUGCAUUUUCCAUUUUAAUACUUACAUUGAAUUGGUCAUCUGUGUAAUACUUACAAAUGUUGUUGUUGGUGUUAUUAUUGUAAUAGUAAUUGUCUGGAUCAAAAUUACUUUCAGGAUCAUGCAUCUUGUGCUCUGUAUAUUCAAAGGUUUUAAAGUUAAUUUUUUCAGUCUGUGUGUUGGGCAACUGCCCACCUUGACAGUCGUUUCCACAGGAAUCUUCCUCUUCAAAGUCUCUGAAUGGAAACAUAUAAUCCUCAUCCACACUUGUCAUUUGUCUACUGUGUUGUUUUCACUGUCCGCUGAAGUGCUCCCCAUCCACAAUCCAUUGUCCAUAAUGUCCAGUCUUCACACAUUUCCAUAGGAAGGAGGAAUGUUCUCAUUGACAGUUGCGAUCAUUUCUCUUUUAUUUAUAUUGUUCUAAGUCUUUGAGAUCUCUUAUCAUUACAGCUUUUGCUUCCUCGGGUGUGCCAUUCAGUCGAAUCAUUACUUUGCAGUUUCUUGUCCACGUAGCUUGUAUCUUAUUUUGUUUUCUUAGGUUGCGUGCCUGUCUGGCGAUGUCAGCGUUCUUUUUUGUUAAAUGUUCAUUCAGAUACACACCAGUCCCCUUUAGUUUCUUUGCCUGUUUCAGUAGUUCAGCCUUGGUUUUACGGCUCACAAGCCGAACAAUGAUUGCCGGCUUUGUUUUGCUGUCUUUUUUGGGGAGGGUGUGACAGGUUGCAAUAUGAUGACUUUGAAUAUGGACAUUUUUAGUUGCGAGGAAUUGUAUAACUUGCUGUUCGAGUGUUUGCAGCUCCUCUGCUGGGGCAUCCUCACCGUCUUUACCUCCACCUGCCAUAGCUCUAGCAUAGGUUCGGUGUGAAGUCUCCAGUCCAUUUAUGAUUACAUCAUCCAUUCUUGUGUAUUGUUCAAGGUCCUCGAUUCGCCGUUCCAAGUUAUCUAUUUUCUUGUCUUUCUCCAUUAUCAGAUUUUUCAGUUGUUUUAACUCAUCCAUUAAAUCAAGUAGCAUACCUUGUUGUUUAGCCACUUUGCUCAGUUCAUCCGACAUGAAGUUUAGCGAUUUCCUGAUCUCCUCCAACUCCUCCUCAACUCCAGGGUUGACUUUCUUUGGUGGCAUCUUGAGAUCGGUUUCGCUGUUUUCUUCACUUAUUCACCUUUAGCUCUGUUCAAUCACAAUCACUCAGCCGUCUGAACACACUGAAGGAGCCUCUGGUCACCGCCGCCAUCUUUGCCCCUGACGUCUUUUCACUAAGAGUUCCAGCGAGUGGUCGUGGAAACACUUUUGGAAAUCCGUGAUGGAUUGAAAUCGCUCAACCAGCAGGGGGACAUUGAAGAUGAGGGUGAGCGGAUACGUCAGUUGCCGUUAAGGACUUUGGAGGAGGCUCAGCGCAUGUCGUUGGAAAUCAGUAGGCACCCCAGCAUAAAACGUUUACUGGUACGUCAAAUAGAGAUGCUAAAAAUGAUAGAAAUCUAUACAUUAGACACUCUUGAUAGUUUGAUUAUAUCAUACAGAUAAAACAACUGUCACACCUUGGGGGGGAAGGACAUUAAGACCUGCACACGCAGGAUCCUGGACAGGUAUGAAUAUGACAGCAAGACAGUGUUAUUAAUAUAAUCAUGUAUUGUUGGUGUUUAUCAAGUCUUUCUAGUGAAUUGCAAGAGUAAGCAGUAUUAAGGUGCGUUCACACAGGCACUUGUGCAACGGCAGCAAGGGUUUCUCUGAGGUUUUAGGGACUUGUUCCGCAAAUAAAGAGCAGCGCUGGACACGGUGUCCGACGAGAUCGAGGGGAAACCUAGAGCGGGUGUGACGUAAUGCGCAACGCGAAUUUAUGGUGGCAAAGUGACACGUUUUAGGACACAAGACAGGACAAGUUGCGUUGCCUGUCCGGUGUGAACGCACCUUAAGAGAUUUAUUUGUCUUUGAUAUCCAUUUCAGAAUUUUACACAAUGACGUGCAGAGGAAGUACAACCUCCUGGGUGGAGGACGCCAGGGGAAAAAAAGCUUAAAGAAAACUGCUUUCUUCACAGUUGUUCUUGGUAAAUGAAUUAUAUCUCUGCAAGUUAUUACUUAUUCUUGGUCAUGUUACUGACUCAUUUAAAGCCUGAAGCUGUAAAAAAGUGAAGAAUCCUUCCGGACAAUACUAGAUAAUUUCUACACUUACUAUGAUUCAAGUUUCUUUUGUUUUUUUAUCUUUUUGCAGAGUCUGUUCGCACUAACUUCCCGACAGCAACAGAGGAACUGGUCGCAGCAUCGAUUGGGGACCAUUUGAAACAGGCACCAGCUCGACGUGGUGGGAGGGGCACCACCAGAACACCACCCU